AAUUUCUGAGUUAUUUCUCUGACUAUUACCCCUCUCUUGUAACAUUAUUUUUUUUCAUCCUACAAUAGCCUUAGUACGCUGUCGUAGCAGAAGCAGCUUGCGUUUGCCAACAUCAAGCUGACAAGAGACUGUGGCAGAUAAACUUUCUGAAUCUUUCUGGACUAGUUU
Etheostoma cragini (Arkansas darter) is the source of this 168-nucleotide long non-coding RNA. RefSeq lists it as uncharacterized. The transcript has 3 exons. The record is from RefSeq and is a predicted model, not a curated record. NCBI's taxonomy places the organism in Eukaryota, Metazoa, Chordata, Actinopteri, Perciformes, Percidae.